Molecule: ribosomal RNA, 1432 nt
Filed under: uncultured organism
Description: 16S ribosomal RNA
Rfam family: Bacterial small subunit ribosomal RNA
Source: RNAcentral
GGAUGAACGCUAGCUACAGGCUUAACACAUGCAAGUCGAGGGGCAGCAUCAUCAAAGCUUGCUUUGAUGGAUGGCGACCGGCGCACGGGUGAGUAACACGUAUCCAACCUGCCGACAACACUGGGAUAGCCUUUCGAAAGAAAGAUUAAUACCGGAUGGCAUAGUUUUCCCGCAUGGGAUAAUUAUUAAAGAAUUUCGGUUGUCGAUGGGGAUGCGUUCCAUUAGGCAGUUGGCGGGGUAACGGCCCACCAAACCAACGAUGGAUAGGGGUUCUGAGAGGAAGGUCCCCCACAUUGGAACUGAGACACGGUCCAAACUCCUACGGGAGGCAGCAGUGAGGAAUAUUGGUCAAUGGACGAGAGUCUGAACCAGCCAAGUAGCGUGAAGGAUGACUGCCCUAUGGGUUGUAAACUUCUUUUAUACGGGAAUAAAGUGAGCCACGUGUGGCUUUUUGUAUGUACCGUAUGAAUAAGGAUCGGCUAACUCCGUGCCAGCAGCCGCGGUAAUACGGAGGAUCCGAGCGUUAUCCGGAUUUAUUGGGUUUAAAGGGAGCGUAGGCGGGUUGUUAAGUCAGUUGUGAAAGUUUGCGGCUCAACCGUAAAAUUGCAGUUGAUACUGGCGACCUUGAGUGCAACAGAGGUAGGCGGAAUUCGUGGUGUAGCGGUGAAAUGCUUAGAUAUCACGAAGAACUCCGAUUGCGAAGGCAGCUUACUGGAUUGUAACUGACGCUGAUGCUCGAAAGUGUGGGUAUCAAACAGGAUUAGAUACCCUGGUAGUCCACACAGUAAACGAUGAAUACUCGCUGUUGGCGAUAUACAGUCAGCGGCCAAGCGAAGGCAUUAAGUAUUCCACCUGGGGAGUACGCCGGCAACGGUGAAACUCAAAGGAAUUGACGGGGGCCCGCACAAGCGGAGGAACAUGUGGUUUAAUUCGAUGAUACGCGAGGAACCUUACCCGGGCUUAAAUUGCAACUGACUGAACCGGAAACGGUUCUUUCUUCGGACAGUUGUGAAGGUGCUGCAUGGUUGUCGUCUGCUCGUGCCGUGAGGUGUCGGCUUAAGUGCCAUAACGAGCGCAACCCUUACGGGUAGUUACCAUCAGGUUAUGCUGGGGACUCUACCCGGACUGCCGUCGUAAGAUGUGAGGAAGGUGGGGAUGACGUCAAAUCAGCACGGCCCUUACGUCCGGGGCUACACACGUGUUACAAUGGGGGGUACAGAAGGCAGCUACACGGCGACGCGGUGCUAAUCCCGAAAGCCUCUCUCAGUUCGGAUUGGAGUCUGCAACCCGACUCCAUGAAGCUGGAUUCGCUAGUAAUCGCGCAUCAGCCACGGCGCGGUGAAUACGUUCCCGGGCCUUGUACACACCGCCCGUCAAGCCAUGAAAGCCGGGGGUACCUGAAGUACGUAACCGCGAGGAGCGUCCUAGGGUA